Pleurotus ostreatus (oyster mushroom) is the source of this 110-nucleotide non-coding RNA. The record is from the annotation of a RefSeq genome assembly. NCBI's taxonomy places the organism in Eukaryota, Fungi, Basidiomycota, Agaricomycetes, Agaricales, Pleurotaceae.
GGCGAGAUGGCCGAGCGGUCCAAGGCGCCAGACUAAGGUAGACCAGCUCAUUAGGUGAGCAACCCCAUCUGGUCUCUUCGGGGGCGCGAGUUCGAAUCUCGCUCUCGUCA